UAUCAAACCCGAUACAACCAA
Molecule: non-coding RNA, 21 nt
Filed under: Caenorhabditis elegans
Lineage: Eukaryota; Metazoa; Nematoda; Chromadorea; Rhabditida; Rhabditidae
Source: RNAcentral